GACGAACGCUGGCGGCGUGCCUAAUGCAUGCAAGUCGAGCGGGCUACGAUCUUCGGAUUGUAGCUUAGCGGCGAACGGGUGAGUAACACGUAGGUAAUCUACCCUUCAGAGGAGGACAACCUCAGGAAACUGAGGCUAAACCUUCAUACGUUCACUGGUAGGGAUACUGGUGAAGAAAGAGUUACCUUAAAGGUAGCUGCUGAAGGAUGAGCCUGCGGCCCAUCAGGUAGUUGGUGAGGUAACGGCUCACCAAGCCGAAGACGGGUAACCGGUCUGAGAGGAUGUCCGGUCACACUGGGACUGAGACACGGCCCAGACUCCUACGGGAGGCAGCAGCAGGGAAUCUUGGGCAAUGGGCGAAAGCCUGACCCAGCGACGCCGCGUGGAGGAAGAAGUCCUUCGGGGCGUAAACUCCUGGACUGGGGGACGAGGAAGGACGGUACCCCAGUAGAAAGGGACGGCUAACUACGUG
RNAcentral lists this ribosomal RNA (472 nucleotides) under uncultured bacterium. Its description in RNAcentral is "bacterial SSU rRNA". It matches the Rfam family "Bacterial small subunit ribosomal RNA", at positions 28 to 507 of the family's 1533-position model. The record is from RNAcentral.